Molecule: ribosomal RNA, 460 nt
Filed under: uncultured bacterium
Lineage: Bacteria
Description: partial 16S ribosomal RNA
Rfam family: Bacterial small subunit ribosomal RNA
Source: RNAcentral
CCUACGGGGGGCAGCAGUGAGGAAUAUUGGUCAAUGGGCGAGAGCCUGAACCAGCCAAGUCGCGUGAAGGAUGAAGGAUCUAUGGUUUGUAAACUUCUUUUAUAUGGGAAUAAAGUGAGGAACGUGUUCCUUUUUGUAUGUACCAUAUGAAUAAGCAUCGGCUAACUCCGUGCCAGCAGCCGCGGUAAUACGGAGGAUGCGAGCGUUAUCCGGAUUUAUUGGGUUUAAAGGGUGCGUAGGUGGUUAAUUAAGUCAGCGGUGAAAGUUUGUGGCUCAACCGUAAAAUUGCAGUUGAAACUGGUUGUCUUGAGUAUAUUUGAGGUAGGCGGAAUGCGUGGUGUAGCGGUGAAAUGCAUAGAUAUCACGCAGAACUCCGAUUGCGAAGGCAGCUUACUAAACUAUAACUGACACUGAAGCACGAAAGCGUGGGGAUCAAACAGGAUUAGAUACCCCUGUAGUC